This 74-nucleotide transfer RNA is filed under the name Enterobius vermicularis (human pinworm). It matches the Rfam family "tRNA". From Rfam's summary of the family: Transfer RNA (tRNA) molecules are approximately 80 nucleotides in length. Their secondary structure includes four short double-helical elements and three loops (D, anti-codon, and T loops). Lineage: Eukaryota; Metazoa; Nematoda; Chromadorea; Rhabditida; Oxyuridae. The record is from Rfam by way of RNAcentral.
GCUUUCGUGGCCCAGCAGGUUAGCGCGAUCCGCUGUUAAUCGAAAGGUUGGUGGUUCAAGACCACCCGGGAGCC